UACGUAGGGUGCAAGCGUUGUCCGGAAUUAUUGGGCGUAAAGAGCUCGUAGGCGGUCUGUCGCGUCGGCUGUGAAAACCCGGAGCUCAACUCCGGGCCUGCAGUCGAUACGGGCAAACUGGAGUACUGCAGGGAGACUGGAAUUCCUGGUGUAGCGGUGAAAUGCGCAGAUAUCAGGAGGAACACCGGUGGCGAAGGCGGGUCUCUGGGCGAGUAACUG
Molecule: ribosomal RNA, 219 nt
Filed under: uncultured bacterium
Lineage: Bacteria
Description: partial 16S ribosomal RNA
Rfam family: Bacterial small subunit ribosomal RNA
Source: RNAcentral